CCCACAACUGCGGGCACCAGGAGGAUGCCGGCGCCAUCUGCUCAGGUGUCGAUGGCAGUCCGAAAGUAGGACCAACAGACUCGGCUGGUGACAGCCCCAC
Long non-coding RNA from Neomonachus schauinslandi (Hawaiian monk seal), 100 nucleotides. RefSeq lists it as uncharacterized. Lineage: Eukaryota; Metazoa; Chordata; Mammalia; Carnivora; Phocidae. The transcript has 3 exons. The record is from RefSeq and is a predicted model, not a curated record.